AUGCAAGUCGAGCGAAUGGAUUAAGAGCUUGCUCUUAUGAAGUUAGCGGCGGACGGGUGAGUAACACGUGGGUAACCUGCCCAUAAGACUGGGAUAACUCCGGGAAACCGGGGCUAAUACCGGAUAANAUUUUGAACUGCAUGGUUCGAAAUUGAAAGGCGGCUUCGGCUGUCACUUAUGGAUGGACCCGCGUCGCAUUAGCUAGUUGGUGAGGUAACGGCUCACCAAGGCAACGAUGCGUAGCCGACCUGAGAGGGUGAUCGGCCACACUGGGACUGAGACACGGCCCAGACUCCUACGGGAGGCAGCAGUAGGGAAUCUUCCGCAAUGGACGAAAGUCUGACGGAGCAACGCCGCGUGAGUGAUGAAGGCUUUCGGGUCGUAAAACUCUGUUGUUAGGGAAGAACAAGUGCUAGUUGAAUAAGCUGGCACCUUGACGGUACCUAACCAGAAAGCCACGGCUAACUACGUGCCAGCAGCCGCGGUAAUACGUAGGUGGCAAGCGUUAUCCGGAAUUAUUGGGCGUAAAGCGCGCGCAGGUGGUUUCUUAAGUCUGAUGUGAAAGCCCACGGCUCAACCGUGGAGGGUCAUUGGAAACUGGGA
RNAcentral lists this ribosomal RNA (603 nucleotides) under Bacillus thuringiensis. RNAcentral's name for it is "bacterial SSU rRNA". It matches the Rfam family "Bacterial small subunit ribosomal RNA", at positions 55 to 638 of the family's 1533-position model. Lineage: Bacteria; Bacillati; Bacillota; Bacilli; Caryophanales; Bacillaceae. The record is from RNAcentral.